This 267-nucleotide long non-coding RNA is filed under the name Solanum tuberosum (potato). RNAcentral describes it as "long non-coding RNA (STUB_LNC001066)". Lineage: Eukaryota; Viridiplantae; Streptophyta; Magnoliopsida; Solanales; Solanaceae. The record is from RNAcentral.
AGUUUAGAUGUUUCUUUUCCUUCUUGAGCUAUAUAUAUGUUACCUUGACAUUUAAUUGAAGUGUAUAUUUAAGUAAACACGAUCUUAAUUUAUUGACUAGAAAUAAUAUGAUUGACUUUUCUACGGUUUAUAAGUUCAAAGUCGUCUCCUCCAGUGUCCCCUGCUAAGAAAAAGUUAUUAAGGAAGUAAAAUUAGGUGGUAAUAGUAAAAGAAUAAGCUUUAAAGGAACAUAUAUACUAAGUAAGAUUUAUGAUGAUAUAACUUAAA